This 850-nucleotide ribosomal RNA is filed under the name Psychrobacter sp. Its description in RNAcentral is "bacterial SSU rRNA". It matches the Rfam family "Bacterial small subunit ribosomal RNA", at positions 19 to 862 of the family's 1533-position model. Lineage: Bacteria; Pseudomonadati; Pseudomonadota; Gammaproteobacteria; Moraxellales; Moraxellaceae. The record is from RNAcentral.
UAGGCUCAGAUUGAACGCUGGCGGCAGGCUUAACACAUGCAAGUCGAGCGGAAACGAUGAUAGCUUGCUAUCAGGCGUCGAGCGGCGGACGGGUGAGUAAUACUUAGGAAUCUACCUAGUAGUGGGGGAUAGCACGGGGAAACUCGUAUUAAUACCGCAUACGUCCUACGGGAGAAAGGGGGCAACUUGUUGCUCUCGCUAUUAGAUGAGCCUAAGUCGGAUUAGCUAGAUGGUGGGGUAAAGGCCUACCAUGGCGACGAUCUGUAGCUGGUCUGAGAGGAUGAUCAGCCACACCGGGACUGAGACACGGCCCGGACUCCUACGGGAGGCAGCAGUGGGGAAUAUUGGACAAUGGGGGAAACCCUGAUCCAGCCAUGCCGCGUGUGUGAAGAAGGCCUUUUGGUUGUAAAGCACUUUAAGCAGUGAAGAAGACCUAACGGUUAAUACCCGUUAGCGAUGACAUUAGCUGCAGAAUAAGCACCGGCUAACUCUGUGCCAGCAGCCGCGGUAAUACAGAGGGUGCAAGCGUUAAUCGGAAUUACUGGGCGUAAAGCGAGCGUAGGUGGCUUGAUAAGUCAGAUGUGAAAUCCCCGGGCUUAACCUGGGAACUGCAUCUGAAACUGUUAGGCUAGAGUAGGUGAGAGGGAAGUAGAAUUUCAGGUGUAGCGGUGAAAUGCGUAGAGAUCUGAAGGAAUACCGAUGGCGAAGGCAGCUUCCUGGCAUCAUACUGACACUGAGGCUCGAAAGCGUGGGUAGCAAACAGGAUUAGAUACCCUGGUAGUCCACGCCGUAAACGAUGUCUACUAGUCGUUGGGUCCCUUGAGGACUUAGUGACGCAGCUAACGCAAUA